GGGCGGUUAGCUCAGUUGGUAGAGCGCCACGUUUACACCGUGGAUGUCGGCGGUUCGAGCCCGUCACCGCCCACCA
Molecule: transfer RNA, 76 nt
Filed under: Defluviicoccus vanus
Lineage: Bacteria; Pseudomonadati; Pseudomonadota; Alphaproteobacteria; Rhodospirillales; Rhodospirillaceae
Also listed under: 9 other names
Description: tRNA-Val
Rfam family: tRNA
About the family: Transfer RNA (tRNA) molecules are approximately 80 nucleotides in length. Their secondary structure includes four short double-helical elements and three loops (D, anti-codon, and T loops).
Source: RNAcentral